UAUUCAACUAUAAAAACACUA
This 21-nucleotide transfer RNA is filed under the name Trachypithecus johnii (Nilgiri langur). RNAcentral's name for it is "partial tRNA". Lineage: Eukaryota; Metazoa; Chordata; Mammalia; Primates; Cercopithecidae. The record is from RNAcentral.